AAAAAAAUUAAAAAAAAAAAAACUUGAUAAGGACCAGGGACCAAUAUGGGCUUCAAAAUAUGAAAAAUAAUGAAUUUCUGCUUGUAGUUACCCGCUGAACCUUUUUUCAGGGAAAAUCGAAGUUAGAUGAAAACAGGUGAAGAUGAGAUUAUGUUCUGCUUCAGGAAAUAAAGAAAUGGGGUAUGAUUCUUUUUUUAGUUGUUUCCAUUUCCCUGAAGAAGCUGUAGUAUCCAAGAAAAGGGAAUGAUGUAAAUGCCAAUGAAGCAAAUUGUGAACUGAUUUUAGUUAACUAAAUAGUAAUUUUUAUUGCAUGGUGCUAUUGAAACUUUUCUUGGUUUAGGGUUCUCUUCUUGCCACUAUAUCUUCU
This 367-nucleotide unclassified non-coding RNA is filed under the name Hevea brasiliensis (rubber tree). Lineage: Eukaryota; Viridiplantae; Streptophyta; Magnoliopsida; Malpighiales; Euphorbiaceae. The record is from RNAcentral.